RNAcentral lists this ribosomal RNA (863 nucleotides) under uncultured bacterium. Its description in RNAcentral is "bacterial SSU rRNA". It matches the Rfam family "Bacterial small subunit ribosomal RNA", at positions 51 to 905 of the family's 1533-position model. The record is from RNAcentral.
ACACAUGCAAGUCUAGCGGCAGCGCGGGGGCAACCCUGGCGGCGAGCGCCGAACGGGUGAGUAACACUUCGUAACGUACCCGCUUGUGGGGGAUAACCUACCGAAUGGUAGGCUAAUACCGCAUGAGCUCGGGAGAGGAAAGCGGGGGACCUGCAAGGGCCUCGCGCGAGCGGAGCGGCCGAUGUCCGAUUAUCUAGUUGGUGGGGUAAAGGCUUACCACGGCGACGAUCGGUAACUGGUCUGAGAGGAUGAUCAGCCACACUGGGACUGAGACACGGCCCAGACUCCUACGGGAGGCAGCAGUGGGGAAUUUUGGACAAUGGGGGCAACCCUGAUCCACUCCGUGCCGCGUGAGUGAAGAAGGCCUUCGGGUUGUAAAGCUCUUUCGGUGGGAACGAAAUGGCCCGUGCCAACACCAUGGGUCGAUGACGGUACUCACAGAAGAAGCACCGGCUAACUACGUGCCAGCAGCCGCGGUAAUACGUAGGGUGCGAGCGUUUAUCGGAAUUACUGGGCGUAAAGCGUGCGCAGGCGGUUUCACAAGCUCGAUGUGAAAGCCCCGGGCUUAACCUGGGAAUGGCAUUGAGUGACUGUGGAGCUUGAGUCCGGCAGAGGGAGGUGGAAUUCCACGUGUAGCAGUGAAAUGCGUAGAGAUGUGGAGGAACACCGAUGGCGAAGGCAGCCUCCUGGGCCGACACUGACGCUCAUGCACGAAAGCGUGGGGAGCAAACAGGAUUAGAUACCCUGGUAGUCCACGCCCUAAACGAUGUCAACUGGUUGUUGGGGAAGGAAACUUCUUUAGUAACGAAGCUAACGCGUGAAGUUGACCGCCUGGGGAGUACGGGCGCAUGGUCAAACUCAAA